RNAcentral lists this long non-coding RNA (216 nucleotides) under Lathyrus oleraceus (garden pea). RNAcentral describes it as "Pisum sativum (pea) long non-coding RNA (PSAT_LNC001384)". Lineage: Eukaryota; Viridiplantae; Streptophyta; Magnoliopsida; Fabales; Fabaceae. The record is from RNAcentral.
AGAAGAAGAAUGGCUAAGAUCCUAAGCAAUGCAAAAGUGAGGGAUAAGAACAAAACCACAAAAGGAGUUCCUCUCUUGAGAUCAUAUGGAUGAUCCAAGUAGCUCCCAUCCUUUGGAAUAAGCAAUCACAUAAAUAUAAACCCAAGCAAUCAUCAAUCAAAUGAACUCUUGGAAGGCUCUUCAAGGCAUCUUGUAACCAUUUCUCUUAGAAGCUCA